GCCCGGCCCUGACGCGGGCGAGUUUCAUCAUGCGGCGCCCGGCCCUGAUGCGGGCAGGCCUAGACCGGCUCCUUGUUGCAGCCCCAAGUCGAGGGCUGCCCCUCAGGGCCCGCAGUUUGGAGUGCGCCAGCUGUGUUACUUUGUUUGGAAAAGAGUGUUUACAAGGCUGAUACCUUCAGGAGUGUUUACCGAGGAGCUUGCCUUGGGAAACUUACAGAUGCUCUAGAAAAGAUCUCUGGAAGAGCCCGCUUAGCCUUAAGUUUUUUUUUUUCAUUUAUAGCUAUUUUUUCUGCUUCCCCCUCCCCCCCCCCCCCCCCCCCCCCCCCCCCCAGGAAUUCUGAAUGCUGUACAGAGCACAAAUAUACGACAUCGAUGCUUGAAUCUGGCAGCCAUCCAGGGAACAUUUUGCUUUUGCCAGGAACAGAAUAAUAACUGCCAAGAGCUACUUCUAAAAAGCACUAUGGACAAGACUGAGGAUUCACUCCAUCCAUCCAAGGGAAUCCCAGCAGACUUCAUAACCCAUCAGUGCUCCUGCGUGCCUUCCCACCACAUACCACAGUACUGAAGAGAUGGCAGCAGAGGGGCAGUCUGACAAAAUGGUGUCUAACAUGGAAGUGUGUAUGAAGCAAAGAGGUGGAACUGAAUUUCUUUAUGUGGAUAAAAUAUUGCCCAUUGAUAUUCAGUGAUGUUUGCUGAAUGUUUAUGGAGAGCGAACAGUGGAUUUUGGCACAGUGAGGUGGUGGGUGGUGCUUUUCAGCAAUGGAGACAGCAAUGCGAAAGACAAGCCACAUUCCAGGCAGCUAUGCACAGCUGUUGCACCACAAAAUGAAGAGCAUCUCAAUCAGAUAGUCCAUGUGAAUCAAUGGACUAUGACCAGGGAGCUACAUACAGAGCUGAAUAUUGGCUUCAAUGUGUUGGAGACAGUGGUGACCACACCGGAAUACCCCAAAGUUUGCAUCACGUGGGUCCCAUGAAUGCUCACACAGGGAAAGAAAGAACACCAUAUGUAAGUUUGCCAGGACCUAUUGAACCAACAUGAAGUUGAAGGUGACAUUUUCCUGGAUCACAUCAUUACCAGUGAUGAGCCAUAACAUCACCACUAUGAGCCAGAGUCAAAACAACAAUCAGUGAAGUGGCAACGUGAUUUUCCCAUUGAUUAAAAAGUUCAAGAUAAAGCUCUCAGUUGGUAAAAUGAUAUGCACUGCCUAUUAGGGUAGGAAAGGAGCCAUCCUUCUGGGUUUCCUGGAACUUGGAAAACCAUUGACUGUCACCACUACAUCACAGUGGUGAGCUCAAGAGUCCGGCUAAAGAAGACAGCCCUUCUCUUGCAACAUGUUAACACCAGGGCCCCUAGCAGUUUGAAGACAGUGGAGAAUAUUGCAAAUCUUGUCUGGGCUGUCCUCCCACAUCCAACAUAUAGCUCAGAUUUGGCACCUUCUGACUGCCAUCUGUUCGGACUGAUGAAAGAUGGACUGCAUGGGCAAUGUUUUCUUAGCAACACUAUUAUAGCAGCUGUGAAACAGUGAAUCACCUCUGCCACUGCAGAUUUUUAUGAGUGCAGCACAUAGGCUCCUUUUCAUGGCAAAAACACAUAGGUAAGGGUAGUGACUAUAUAGAAAAACAGCAGUGUUUUUUGGGUUUUGUUUGCUUUUUUUAAUAGCUGAGAAGUUGCUCUAUCAGAUAGUGUUAUUGUGCUCUUUUUAUCUGUUGCAGCUUCCAUGGAAAUAAUAAAAAAGAGGCAUUACUUUUGGAGCAACCUACAUAGACACCUGUAUUCUCAGACUUCCGCACAAGGACGUGCAGAAUUAAGCAGCUGUUCUGUAGCUGUUAGGAUAGAUACUUACUCUAAAGCACUGCCCAAAGGGCUCUGUGGUGAAGAUGCCCAGCCAGGUAGCUCCUGAAGAGCUACCCAGCAAUGUGCAAAGUGACAGAGGGCCUCUUAACCUGCCUUUGCCCUGUCACCCCUUGGAAGCUUGCAGGAAACCUUGUGUUUACCUAGGUAGGGAAAUCCCUCACUCUGUCCCUCAUUUCUUGCAUAAUGCCAUGAAGUAGCUAAUUUCCUUGUAAAUCAAAUGACUUAACAUCGUUUUCCCCUCUCACUCAUUCUCAGCCACAUUUACCCCAGUGUGCAAGAAGGGAAGUGGUGUGAAUCUCAUAAUACUGCUAUAUCCCCAUGGUACCAAUAUGUUCCCCCAUCACCGUUGGCUCUAUCGGGAGCAGAGGACAAAGAAGCAGCAGCACACUUUAAAGAAAGGGACUAUGGUGAAGCACCAGGCCUACUCCCCUUUCCCUCCCAGGCAGAGGGAAUGGCUUUUCCCUCCCACAGCCACCCAGCAUCACACUGCUGUGUGGCUCAACAGAAGGUCUGUAGAGGUGUUUGCUACUGCUGCACAUGCAAGGCAUCUGCUUAGAGGAAGCAGAGCUCUGCGUGUUCCAUAACUCACCAAUAUCUGAGGAGGAAAAAAGAUUGCUUCUGUGUGAGAUAUGCAAAUCUCUGCCUACAGUGUUGAAUAGCUGUUACAUGGUGGCCAACCCCUGCCAUUUGUUGAAGCAAACAUUGUGUGCACACUGAUAUUAAGUCAGGCCAUAUCUGACCUUUGUUAAAUUACCACUUUGCUCUUUGAAAUUCUCUUUUCAAGCUAGCAGAAGAAUAAGAUAACUCAGUAAACAACUCAGUGUGAAAAAGUGUAGCACCUCAUGCAUACGUAUGUGAUACACAUAGGCCACGAUCCCUGGCAGCAGUACUCCCACGAUGCAAAACCAGACUUUCGGGUUUGCCAAGCAAAAUGAAGUCUCGCAUUCAACCCCAUGGUAUUAAAUAUCUGUAAUACGAGACAUUUUGAAAACUUCACCUUCGGAAUGUUAAGGCACACCAAUGGACAUGGGUGGACAGAACCCCAGUCUGGAUCUGAAGUAGUAAAAGAGAAAAAAAAAGGAGGAAACGAGGAGACAAAGACACCUCCACCUCAUCUGCUGCCUCUGCCAAUGCUAUCGCCUUUGUUAUAUGUAGGCCACUCCGAAAGUAACGCCUCCUAUUUAUUUCCAUGCAAACUACAACAGAUACAAAGAGCACAAUAGCACUGUU
Gallus gallus (chicken) is the source of this 3085-nucleotide long non-coding RNA. The record is from Ensembl. NCBI's taxonomy places the organism in Eukaryota, Metazoa, Chordata, Aves, Galliformes, Phasianidae.